Molecule: ribosomal RNA, 496 nt
Filed under: uncultured Actinomycetes bacterium
Lineage: Bacteria; Bacillati; Actinomycetota; Actinomycetes
Description: bacterial SSU rRNA
Rfam family: Bacterial small subunit ribosomal RNA
Source: RNAcentral
UGAUCAGCGACGCCGCGUGAGGGAUGAAGGCCCUAGGGUCGUAAACCUCUUUCAGCAGGGACGAAAUUGACGGUACCUGCAGAAGAAGCUCCGGCCAACUACGUGCCAGCAGCCGCGGUAAGACGUAGGGGGCGAGCGUUGUCCGGAUUUAUUGGGCGUAAAGGGCUCGUAGGUGGUUGCGUAAGUCGGAUGUGAAAACUCAGGGCUCAACUCUGAGACGCCAUCCGAUACUGCGCUGACUUGAGUCCGGUAGAGGAGUGUGGAAUUCCUAGUGUAGCGGUGAAAUGCGCAGAUAUUAGGAGGAACACCAAUUGCGAAGGCAGCACUCUGGGCCGGCACUGACACUGAGGAGCGAAAGCGUGGGUAGCAAACAGGAUUAGAUACCCUGGUAGUCCACGCCGUAAACGGUGGGCACUAGGUGUGGGGUCUUUCAACGGAUUCCGUGCCGAAGCUAACGCAUUAAGUGCCCCGCCUGGGGAGUACGGCCGCAAGGCUA